CCCCUAGAUGUUUUGGGCCGCACGCGCGCUACACUGAACAGUUCAACAAGUCUUAACCUUGGCCGAUAGGUCUGGGUAAUCUUUGAACGCUGUUCGUGAUUGGGAUAGACCUUUGCAAUUAUGGGUCUUCAACGAGGAAUUCCUAGUAAACGCAAGUCAUCAGCUUGCAUUGAUUACGUCCCUGCCCUUUGUACACACCGCCCGUCGCACCUACCGAUUGAAUGGUCCGGUGAAAUCUCGGGACGGCGGCUUGGUCGCUUGCGUCCGACUGCUGAAACUUGAUUAAACCAUAUCAUUUAGAGGAAGGUGAAGUCGUAACA
RNAcentral lists this ribosomal RNA (320 nucleotides) under uncultured eukaryote. Its description in RNAcentral is "partial 18S ribosomal RNA". It matches the Rfam family "Eukaryotic small subunit ribosomal RNA", at positions 1470 to 1796 of the family's 1831-position model. The record is from RNAcentral.